RNAcentral lists this ribosomal RNA (455 nucleotides) under uncultured bacterium. RNAcentral's name for it is "bacterial SSU rRNA". It matches the Rfam family "Bacterial small subunit ribosomal RNA", at positions 19 to 518 of the family's 1533-position model. The record is from RNAcentral.
CUGGCUCAGAACGAACGCUGGCGGCAGGCCUAACACGAUGCAAGUCGAGCGCGCCCUCGGGGUGAGCGGCGGACGGGUUAGUAACGCGUGGGAACGUACCCUUUGGUAGGGAAUAGCCACUGGAAACGGUGAGUAAUACCCUAUGAGCCCUUCGGGGGAAAGAUUUAUCGCCAAAGGAUCGGCCCGCGUUAGAUUAGGUAGUUGGUGGGGUAAUGGCCUACCAAGCCUACGAUCUAUAGCUGGUUUUAGAGGAUGAUCAGCAACACUGGGACUGAGACACGGCCCAGACUCCUACGGGAGGCAGCAGUGGGGAAUCUUGGACAAUGGGGGCAACCCUUGAUCCAGCCAUGCCGCGUGUAGUGAAGAAGGCCUUAGGGUCGUAAAGCUCUUUCGCCUGUGAAGAUAAUGACGGUAGCAGGUAAAGAAACCCCGGCUAACUCCGUGCCAGCCGCCGC